RNAcentral lists this ribosomal RNA (2746 nucleotides) under Triticum aestivum (bread wheat). RNAcentral's name for it is "partial small subunit ribosomal RNA". Lineage: Eukaryota; Viridiplantae; Streptophyta; Magnoliopsida; Poales; Poaceae. The record is from RNAcentral.
ACCCAUUCCUACCAGUUUUUAUACCCACACCACACUCCCCUCCCCACCUCUCUCCCUCUCUCUCCUUCGCUUCCCUCUCCUCCGCUCGCCGCUUCUCCCGGGGACAGCCCCAGCCCUAGCGGAGCGGAGCCGUAGCCCAGCCCGGCGCGCGUCCGUUGCGCCGCGGUCUGUCCUUGUCACCUGCCAGAUCCAGACCCGGUGCCAGACCGCCGGGAUCCUCCGCGACGGUGGUGCUGUGGGGGAAGUGCCUGAACGCCGCCACUCCCUGAUCGGGGCUACCUACUCGCGUGAUUCGAGGUAGAGCGAGCUCAUGAAUUUGCAUCACAUGGAUGGGUUCUCAGCAUUUUGAGUUUGGGUGAUCAAAUCAGCAUCAUAUAGAUUUCUUUUGCUCGGCCGACAUGGGAGCUAAUUGCUGUAUAGCUGCAAAGCAGAGGCCUCAGCCAUGUAUCAUUCCAGUUGAAGUGUCAGCUUACAGGAAUGUAAGACACUCCCCAUCAUGGAGCUUCCGAUGGGAUAACAGAACACAUAUAGAAGACAUAAUGGAAAUCCCCACAUUUUUGUCCAACCAUAGUAGUGGAAGCAUUCGGCCUGAAACGAAGAGUGGUUCCAUUGCACCAACUGAAGGCUUUUCUAAUGGAGGUAGCCCUUCUGAAUUGUUCCACAAGGUCAAGUGGCAGAAAUCAGAAAAGAAGAUGGAAACAUCUAAAGUUGCACAAUCUGAUCCUAGAGAUAGACCCACUGCAAGUCACUCCUCCCCCGAGGCAAAGCUUUGCAGGAAAUCACUAGACAUGGUAAGUGUUGCUUCAGAUACGAAGGCAUCAACCUCUGUCCCUUCAACACCACCUGUAGUAUCCAGAGCAGAUCCUUCAUCCUCUAGGGGGCAUUCUCUAGGGAUGGAUACAGACUCAAUGAGGAAAGCACGUCGCUCACCAGGAUAUCAACUAUAUAGACAGGUCUCAUACAGCAAGAUUCCAUCUCUCAGGUCUCUCAAUGAGAGCAACUCUCCUGAAGGAAGGCCUUCCUCCUCUAUGCUCUCAGUCUGCAGCAAUGAUUUAUCUGUAGCAGGAUCACAUGGAGAGUCAUCUGAUGGUUGGUCAAUGCGAACAUUUUCUGAAAUGGUUGCAUCAUCCCAAAGAGAGAGAUGGUCAAUUGAUAGUGAGCUCUUAGGUUCCGUUUCAAGUAAAAUGACUCGAUCAAAUGCUUCAAAUCGUACUACCGUCUCCCCUGACCAAGAGGUGUGCAAACUAUGUUUAAAGCUACUAAAGGAAAGGUCAGCGUGGAAUGCCCAGGAUCUGGGUGUUGUCGCUGUUUUAUUGUGCGGCCAUGUUUACCAUGCUGACUGCCUGGAUAGCUUAACUGCAGAAGCUGAGAAAUAUGAUCCUCCUUGUCCCGUAUGCACCCACGGUGAACAAUGUACUGUGAAGCUAUUCGGUAAGCUGGAAUCAAAGAUAAAGAACAAGAUAUCUACAAAUGUGAUACUCGAUGGUGAUCUAGAUGGGAGCUCUAAGCAUCAAAAGAAAAGUAGGAGAGUUCCCAGAUUAGGCACAAGUAUUAGCAUGAAGGACUCGUUCAGUCGGCCAUUUUUGAGGAGGCAUUUCUCAAUUGGCUCCCGGCCACCCCGGUUAGUUUCAGAGAGCGAGUCAACAAGGAAGAAGGGCUUCUGGGCGAGGCACUGGACAGAAUAGCAUAGUACUCGGUCAUCAAACAGGAGGGUUCUUGAAGAGGAAGUGAACUCCCAAGCAAAUCAUGUGGGUUUUGUAGUCAAUGAUGUGAAAGAUAUUUGCUGUCGGGCAACCAUCGUACUAGAAGUUCCUCCCACUCCUCAUGUUCAGAGUUGGGAACUCGUGGAGUGCUGUCAUCGGUUUCCAGGAUAGAAGAAUAAUAACAGUUUCUAUACUAUGCAACUGAGGGUUCUUGCAGACCCCGUCGCAGCUUAUUAGCAAGUAACCUAACAGAGAAGGGGAUGGCCUUCAGGCUGAAGGUAGGAUCCAGCAUGGUAGAUUGUUAUGUUUGCAGUUUUUCUUCGUCGUAUUAUUGGUUAUGCGCACCGGUGAUUUGUUUGAUCUGAUACAUAAUUUGGGAACUAUCGUACAUAGCUGAUGCUAUUUGUUUGAUUAAAAUGCAUCACCGAAGGCGUCGAUGGUUUUAUGGGGAUUAUGUUUAGAAGAAAUAUGAUGUCUUUCUCUUCGUCCAGAACAGAACAGAAGUGUUCUCCCUUUUUCUUUUUAUAUUGUUAGUCUUCAGCAGCUUCGUAUCCUUUUUUCUUCUCUUCAACGGAUCGGCAGACGCUGCAGAAUUGGGAAACCGGAAGAGGAUGUUUUCUCAGGCACCAAAAAUCUGAAGAAUCAAACACCCCUCCAAUCUCAGUUAACUCUACUUACCACUUCUUUUUAGUAUGAAAUUCCGGCCGCCGAUCAUCAUUGAUCCAAUGACGCCAAUCACUUCGUACUGCUUAGUUUGAAAAUUCUGGCCGCCGAUCACUUCGUACUCCUUCGAGCCAUGCCCGAGUGUCACUGUUUACCGAAAAUCAUCUCACCUUCACAGGGUUAUAAUCGUUCAUGAGAAGUUCAGCAACAAAGGGUGAUUGGUUAAGCCACAGAGCUAUCUGACAAUUGCUCGCUAAGCAAUGUGCAGCCCUAUUUUGUUCACGAGAUAUCUUAACCGGAUCAAACACCCUAUUCUCCAGGAAGCCAUUCAUCUUAACCGGAUCAAACACCCUAUUCUCCAACAAGCCAUUCACCUCAAC